AUGAAUGCCAGGACUGAGAGAUCAUCCUCCUUCAGAGUCUGUCUGCCACAUCAAGGUAGUCUGAGCACAACGGGAAAGAGUGCAGUUGAAGUUCGAAAAAAUUUAGCAUCAGCUCGUGAAGGAUCUCACCCUCCUGCACAGGCCAGAGUACAGUUUUGUGAUCGUGGCUCACUGCAGCCUCAGCCUCCUAUGCUCAAGGAAUCCUCCCACCUCAGCCUCCCAGGCAGCUGGAACCACAGGUGCGCAUCACCACACCAAGCUAACUUAGUAUUUUUUGUAGAAUUGGAGUCUUGCCAUAUGGCCCAGGCUAGUCUCAAACACCUGAGCUCAAGUGAUCUGCCUACCUCAGCCCCCUAAAGUGAUGGUAUUACAGGCGCGAGCCACCGCAUCUGGUAAGAAUGCACAUUUUAAAAAAUGCCAUGGAGGUUUUCUGAUUUUUCUUUUAGGCUCUGAUUUCUGCAUUCAGAUUUCAGUGUUUCCUUUUAUUUCUAAGGCUAUUAGAAGAAACAAACUGAUAACAAAGUCUCAUAAAACCUGUUUUAAUGUAGUUGCUACAUACUGGUACUUUUUGUCUAUCAAGGCCCUGCCUUCAAUCUGGAUUGCAGCACAUAACAGCAUAGACAGUACGUUUUAGGAACCUUGAUAUUACAAAUGACACAGAUUACUGGCAUUUUACUGACAGCUAGCAAGGAGGUUUUUCUAUGUUAAUCACAAAUUUGUAGAUUCCAUUUUAAAGAGCUUUUUUAAGGUCAAUUCUUGCAUUACCAUGAUUCCUUCAGAAAAGAAGCACACACUCAAAUUGAGAAUGUAAAGAGUUUAAGAAAGAGAUAAUUCUUUGGGAAGCUGAGGCGGGUGGAUCACGAGGUCAAGAGAUUGAGACCAUCCUGGUCAACAUGGUGAAACCCUGUCUCUACUAAAAAUAUAAAAAUUAGCUGGGCGUGGUGGUGUGCGCCUGUAGUCCCAGCUACUCAGGAGGCUGAGGCAGGAGAAUUGCUUGAACCCGGGAAGCAGAGGUUGCAGUGAGCCGAGAUUGUGCCACUGCACUCCAGCCUGGGGCCUGGUGACAGAGUCUCACUCUGUCUCAAAAAAAAAAAAAAAAGAAAGAAAGAAAGAAAGAGAUAAUUUACAUAGCUGUGGAAAUCUUUAAGGAUUACCCCCAAAAAAUUUUUCAGAAAAAUAGUGUUAAUAUCAGAGAGGAAGUAUUAGCACCCCUAGGCCUAAAGUAGUUCUCAAAAGAAAGGAUUCUGCCCCCAUGAGACAUGGAGCUCACAGACAGUUUUCAAUGUGCAGCUGGUGGGGAGGUUACUAUUGGAGUAGAAUCUGCAAUGGCCAACCAUGCCGCUAAACAUCCUACAACCCAUCAAACAGCUUCUCCCAGAGCAAAGAAUCACCUGUUCAAAAAUGUCAAUAACAUCAGUUUUGAGAUUCUCUGGUCUUGGAAGGUAAAAGUUAGGGAAGCCUGAUUUAAAAAUUUGAAAAGAAGAGCUACAGCAAAGAAUGCCUGAAAUCAUGCAAUUUUUUCAAGAUUAACUGGCAGAACAACAGUGAAGGGAAUAAAAUCCUGAUAAAAAAAUUUUCCCUGUUUUUCCAUUCCUUGCCUGUGCCUCCAGUUGGGAGAACCCAGUUGGAUAUUGUAUAACAAGGAAGCUGUGUUGACAUUGUUGAUAGAGGUCAGCCUCGUGAGGACGAGAAUAACGAAGUCAGGUAGAGGGUGAAUCUGGAAUGGCAAAAUGGAGAUCUGCUUUAUUCAUAAGGCUUUGGAAUACACAUAUCUAUCCAGGAAAGAAAUGUAAAUAGAGAAAAAUAGAUGCUGGGAUAAAAUUUUUGAGGAAUAAUAUAUAAGUGGAAAGUAAACUGAACUUUACACAAUAUCAAAUAGUAAAGCAAAGAUAUGCAAGGAAAUCCAAAAUACUUUCUCUAAUGGGAAAACCACAAAUCUAGGUGCAUAGUCCAAAUGCAAGACAACGUUUCAUUUUUCAUUCGUUUGGGGGUGUUUCUUAAAUUUGGCUGUGUGUAUACCCUACCCAACACCUUUUUCAUUCAUUUGGGGGGGGGUUCUUUUUAUUUUAUUUUAUUUUAUUUUUUUGAGAUGGAGUUUCGCUCUUGUUACCCAGGCUAGAGUGCAAUGGCGCGAUCUCGGCUCACCGCAACCUCCGCCUCCUUGGUUCAGGCAAUUCUCCUGCCUCAGCCUCCAGAGUAGCCAGGAUUACAGGUACGCGCCACCACGCCCAGCUAAUUUUUUGUAUUUUUAGUAGAGACGGGGUUUCACCAUGUUGACCAGGAUGGUCUG
This 2290-nucleotide long non-coding RNA is filed under the name Callithrix jacchus (white-tufted-ear marmoset). RNAcentral describes it as "lncRNA (ENSCJAG00000071659.1)". Lineage: Eukaryota; Metazoa; Chordata; Mammalia; Primates; Cebidae. The record is from RNAcentral.